This 873-nucleotide long non-coding RNA is filed under the name Homo sapiens (human). Its description in RNAcentral is "non-protein coding lnc-PANO1-1:4". The record is from RNAcentral. Lineage: Eukaryota; Metazoa; Chordata; Mammalia; Primates; Hominidae.
GUUCGUACCCGGUCCGGGUCGGCUGGGCUGCCCGCCGCUCCGCGCGCCCGGGCGGUCGCAGGUCGCGCCUGCUUUGGCCCCGGCGGGUUCGGCAUCCGAGCCUGGCAGGGGCCAAUAGAAAGUUUCCUACACUACUGAGGUUUAGGGGCACUGUGAAGCAAAAGCCACGCCUCAGAAUCCCAGGCGGAGACUCCGACCUCGUCCCGGGAGGGAAGCCAGUAGCUGAGCACCUGCGGGAGAUUAAAGAGAGGAAUAAGGAGGUGAGUACAUGACAAAGAGCCACAGUCGCAGGCGGUGGGGCCUGGCUCAGAACAGGCUGUGCUGGGAAGCGGGAGCAGGAGCUGGCGCCGCCUUGCGGGCUGGCAGAGGACCAUCCACUCCCUGGCGCUGGGGCCGUCCCAUCUCAUGGGCAAGAAACGUGAGACCCCUGGCUCGCUCCACACACAACCUAAGUGCCAGAUGGAUGAGACGCCUACGCGUGAGUAAAUGCCAGGAACAUGAGACUCGAACGUGGCAGGAUAUCCUUCUGCCCACGAAUCUAAAAGCUUACUCGGUAAUGGGAGAAUGGUUCCAAUUUGAUAAACUCGGGUUUUUGGAACGUCUGUGCUCCAGAAACACUGGAAGGCAAGUGGCUGCUGACUGGAGGAGAUAAUUGGAUGCUGCAAGCGGCAAAGGGCUCGGGAUGCAAAACACCGCAAGAAAUGCAACAAGUGAGGAGCAUUCCCGCAAAGAAAAAACGCACAGGCCGAGAGCAGUGGCUCACGCCUGUAAUCCCAGCAGUUUGGGAGGCCGAGGCAGGUGCAUCGCUUGAGGACAGGAGUUCGAGACUAGGCUGGCCAACAUGGUGAAACCCCAUCUCUACUAAAAAUACAA